UACGUAGGUGGCAAGCGUUGUCCGGAUUUACUGGGCGUAAAGGGCGCGUAGGCGGUCAGCACAAGUCAGUUGUGAAAUCUCCGGGCUUAACUCGGAAAGGUCAACUGAUACUGUGCGACUAGAGUGCGGAAGGGGCAACUGGAAUUCUCGGUGUAGCGGUGAAAUGCGUAGAUAUCGGGAGGAACACCAGUGGCGAAGGCGACUACCUGGCCUGUUCUUGACGCUGAGGCGCGAAAGCUAGGGGAGCAAACGGG
Molecule: ribosomal RNA, 254 nt
Filed under: uncultured bacterium
Lineage: Bacteria
Description: partial 16S ribosomal RNA
Rfam family: Bacterial small subunit ribosomal RNA
Source: RNAcentral